GUCUUUUUGAUUAUAAUUUAAAGUCUGACCUGCCCACUGAUUUUUUAAAGGGCCGCAGUAUUUUAACUGUGCAAAGGUAGCAUAAUAAUUAGUUUCUUAAUUAGAAGCUUGUAUGAAUGGUUAAACGAGAAAUUAGCUGUCUCAAUUUAUAAAUUAAAAUUUUAUUUUUAAGUUAAAAAGCUUAAAUUUAUUUAAAAGACGAGAAGACCCUAUAGAGUUUUAUAUAAAUUAAAGUUUUAAUUUUUAGAAUUAAAAAAAUUUUAAUGAUUAUUUUAUUGGGGUGAUAUAUAAAUUUAUUAAACUUUAUAUUUUUAUUAACAUUAAUUUAUGAAUUUUUGAUCCAUUUUUUAUGAUUAUAAGAAUAAAUUACCUUAGGGAUAACAGCGUUAUUUUUUUUUAGAGUUCAAAUCGAAAGAAAAGAUUGCGACCUCGAUGUUGGAUUAAAAUUAAUUUUUGGUGUAGAAGCUAAAAAAUUAGGUCUGUUCGACCUUUAAAAUUUUACAUGAUCUG
RNAcentral lists this ribosomal RNA (510 nucleotides) under Hydraena isabelae. RNAcentral describes it as "partial 16S ribosomal RNA". It matches the Rfam family "Bacterial large subunit ribosomal RNA", at positions 1819 to 2607 of the family's 2925-position model. Lineage: Eukaryota; Metazoa; Arthropoda; Insecta; Coleoptera; Hydraenidae. The record is from RNAcentral.